Molecule: ribosomal RNA, 301 nt
Filed under: uncultured bacterium
Lineage: Bacteria
Description: partial 16S ribosomal RNA
Rfam family: Bacterial small subunit ribosomal RNA
Source: RNAcentral
CAGUAGCCGCGGUAAUACGUAGGGUGCGAGCGUUAAUCGGAAUUACUGGGCGUAAAGCGUGCGCAGGCGGUUUUGUAAGACAGGCGUGAAAUCCCCGGGCUCAACCUGGGAAUGGCGCUUGUGACUGCAAAGCUAGAGUGCGGCAGAGGGGGAUGGAAUUCCGCGUGUAGCAGUGAAAUGCGUAGAUAUGCGGAGGAACACCGAUGGCGAAGGCAAUCCCCUGGGCCUGCACUGACGCUCAUGCACGAAAGCGUGGGGAGCAAACAGGAUUAGAUACCCCUGUAGUCCCUGUCUCUUAUAC